This 104-nucleotide small nuclear RNA is filed under the name Aotus nancymaae (Ma's night monkey). The record is from RNAcentral. Lineage: Eukaryota; Metazoa; Chordata; Mammalia; Primates; Aotidae.
AUGCUCACUUCAGCAGCACAUAUAUUAAAAUUGGAACAACACAGAGAUUAGCAUGGCCUCUGUGCAAGGAUGACAUGUAAACUUGUGAAGCAUUCCAUAUUUUA